ACUUUCAGCAACGGAUCUCUUGGCUCUCGCAUCGAUGAAGAACGCAGCGAAUUGCGAUAAGUAAUGUGAAUUGCAGAUUUUCAGUGAAUCAUCGAAUCUUUGAACGCACCUUGCGCUCCUUGGUAUUCCGAGGAGCAUGCCUGUUU
This 146-nucleotide ribosomal RNA is filed under the name Caloboletus frustosus. Its description in RNAcentral is "5.8S ribosomal RNA". It matches the Rfam family "5.8S ribosomal RNA". From Rfam's summary of the family: 5.8S ribosomal RNA (5.8S rRNA) is a component of the large subunit of the eukaryotic ribosome. It is transcribed by RNA polymerase I as part of the 45S precursor that also contains 18S and 28S rRNA. The record is from RNAcentral. Lineage: Eukaryota; Fungi; Basidiomycota; Agaricomycetes; Boletales; Boletaceae.